This 141-nucleotide ribosomal RNA is filed under the name Thysananthus aculeatus. RNAcentral's name for it is "5.8S ribosomal RNA". The stretch from base 4 to 118 matches the Rfam family "5.8S ribosomal RNA". From Rfam's summary of the family: 5.8S ribosomal RNA (5.8S rRNA) is a component of the large subunit of the eukaryotic ribosome. It is transcribed by RNA polymerase I as part of the 45S precursor that also contains 18S and 28S rRNA. The record is from RNAcentral. Lineage: Eukaryota; Viridiplantae; Streptophyta; Jungermanniopsida; Porellales; Lejeuneaceae.
AAUGACUCUCAGCAACGGAUAUCUUGGCUCUUGCAACUGCAGAAUUCGCGAAUCAUCGAGUUUUUGAACGCAAGUUGCGCCCGAGGUUCGUCCCGAGGGCAUGCCCGCCUGAGCGUCCGCUCCGACCCACCCACGAAACCC